GGAGCGCGCCAGGUCAUCGCACGGCUCGCACGGCGGGAGUGAGGAAAGUCCGGACACCGCAGGACGGGAAGCCGGGUAAUGCCCGGGCGCCGGUCAUACGAUCGGCGACGGAAAGUGCCGCAGAAAAUAUACCGCCUUUCUUAUGAAAGGUAAGGGUGAAAAGGCGAGGUAAGAGCUCACCGCGUUUCCGGCAACGGAAACGGCAGGGUAAACCCCUUCCGGUGCAAUCUCAUGUAGGCAACCUGAGAGUGGUCCGCUCGUGGUUGCGGGUAGAGAGCAAAGAGUGCUUCAGCAAUGAACGCACCAGGAUAAAUGGUGGCCCUCGACAGAAUCCGGCUUAUCGGCGCGCUCCCUUU
RNAcentral lists this RNase P RNA (356 nucleotides) under Leptospiraceae bacterium. RNAcentral's name for it is "RNase P RNA component class A". It matches the Rfam family "Bacterial RNase P class A". From Rfam's summary of the family: Ribonuclease P (RNase P) is a ubiquitous endoribonuclease, found in archaea, bacteria and eukarya as well as chloroplasts and mitochondria. Its best characterised activity is the generation of mature 5'-ends of tRNAs by cleaving the 5'-leader elements of precursor-tRNAs. Lineage: Bacteria; Pseudomonadati; Spirochaetota; Leptospiria; Leptospirales; Leptospiraceae. The record is from RNAcentral.